AUACGUAGGGGGCGAGCGUUGUCCGGAAUGAUUGGGCGUAAAGGGCGCGUAGGCGGCUUGUUAAGUCUGGAGUGGAAGUCCUCUUUUCAAGGGAGGAAUUGCUUUGGAAACUGGCGGGCUUGAGUGCAGGAGAGGUUAUCGGAAUUCCCGGUGUAGCGGUGAAAUGCGUAGAGAUCGGGAGGAACACCAGUGGCGAAGGCGGGUAACUGGACUGCAACUGACGCUGAGGCGCGAAAGUGUGGGGAGCAAACAGGAUUAGAUACCCUGGUAGUCCACACUGUAAACGAUGAGUGCUAGGUGUAGGAGGUAUCGACCCCUUCUGUGCCGGAGUAAACGCAAUAAGCACUCCGCCUGGGGAGUACGGUCGCAAGAUUAAAACUCAAAGGAAUUGACGGGG
This 397-nucleotide ribosomal RNA is filed under the name uncultured bacterium. Its description in RNAcentral is "partial 16S ribosomal RNA". It matches the Rfam family "Bacterial small subunit ribosomal RNA", at positions 523 to 918 of the family's 1533-position model. The record is from RNAcentral.